GGUUUAAAAUAAAUGAGAUUUCUAAAAAAGGAAAGCACACAAUCUUUGUGGACUGACGAAAAUAGUAACAAACACACAUUUUUUGUGGACGGAUGGAGUACUUUAAUUUAAAAUUAAAAAUUGAAAAAAAAUGAAAAAAUAAAAAAGAAAAGUUAAAAAAGAAUGAAAAUUGGAAUUGGUCUCGUUUUCUCCGCCUCUCUCAUCGUCUCACGCUCUGACUUUCAACUCUCUCUCGCCUUCGGCCCCUUUAUCGUCCGCUACGUUGAUCGCCAUGGCUCGUUACCUCAGCAGCAACAGUGUGCGUCACCGAGCCUUCCACCCUACACAG
This 328-nucleotide long non-coding RNA is filed under the name Salvia miltiorrhiza (redroot sage). RNAcentral's name for it is "long non-coding RNA (SMIL_LNC003402)". Lineage: Eukaryota; Viridiplantae; Streptophyta; Magnoliopsida; Lamiales; Lamiaceae. The record is from RNAcentral.